UCGCUCGGGUUUCUCUUCAUUCACGCACAAAUCUUUCGCCUUUUACUAAAGAUUUCCGUGGAGGGGAACCUUGACGAGUUCUUAUUUAUGAAGGCUCUGCCAUGGCAGAGCU
Small nuclear RNA from Pygocentrus nattereri (red-bellied piranha), 112 nucleotides. Its record names the gene U5. It matches the Rfam family "U5 spliceosomal RNA". Rfam says of the family: U5 RNA is a component of both types of known spliceosome. The precise function of this molecule is unknown, though it is known that the 5' loop is required for splice site selection and p220 binding, and that both the 3' stem-loop and the Sm site are important for Sm protein binding and cap methylation. Lineage: Eukaryota; Metazoa; Chordata; Actinopteri; Characiformes; Serrasalmidae. The record is from Ensembl.